CCUACGGGAGGCAGCAGUGAGGAAUAUUGGUCAAUGGACGCAAGUCUGAACCAGCCAUGCCGCGUGAAGGAUGAAGGCGUUUGCGUUGUAAACUUCUUUUAUUGGGGAAGCGGUACCCAAGGAAUAAGCACCGGCUAACUCCGUGCCAGCAGCCGCGGUAAUACGGAGGGUGCAAGCGUUAUCCGGAUUUACUGGGUUUAAAGGGUGUGUAGGCGGACUAUUAAGUCAGCGGUGAAAUCUCCGGGCUCAACCCGGAAACUGCCAUUGAUACUAUUAGUCUUGAAUGUUGUUGAGGUGGGCGGAACGGGUCAUGUAGCGGUGAAAUGCAUAGAUAUGACCCGGAACACCGAUUGCGAAGGCAGCCCACUAAGCAACAUUGACGCUGAGGCACGAAAGCGUGGGGAUCAAACAGGAUUAGAUACCCUUGUAGUC
This 432-nucleotide ribosomal RNA is filed under the name uncultured bacterium. RNAcentral's name for it is "partial 16S ribosomal RNA". It matches the Rfam family "Bacterial small subunit ribosomal RNA", at positions 338 to 795 of the family's 1533-position model. The record is from RNAcentral.